UACGUAGGGUGCAAGCGUUGUCCGGAUUUAUUGGGCGUAAAGAGCUCGUAGGCGGCCUGGCGCGUCGGAUGUGAAAACUUGAAGCUUAACUUCAAGCCUGCAUUCGAUACGGCCAAGCUAGAGGAUGUCAGGGGAAACUGGAAUUCCUGGUGUAGCGGUGAAAUGCGCAGAUAUCAGGAGGAACACCGGUGGCGAAGGCGGGUUUCUGGGACAUUACUGACGCUGAGGAGCGAAAGCGUGGGGAGCAAACAGG
This 253-nucleotide ribosomal RNA is filed under the name uncultured bacterium. RNAcentral describes it as "partial 16S ribosomal RNA". It matches the Rfam family "Bacterial small subunit ribosomal RNA", at positions 524 to 776 of the family's 1533-position model. The record is from RNAcentral.